UACAGAACAAUAAUAGUGCAAUAUGUCAAGUGAAAUUCACUUGACAUAUUGCACUAUUAUUGUUCUGUAC
This 70-nucleotide microRNA precursor is filed under the name Pelobates cultripes (western spadefoot toad). Lineage: Eukaryota; Metazoa; Chordata; Amphibia; Anura; Pelobatidae. The record is from RNAcentral.